AGCUACGGGGAGCUGGCAAUAAAGCUUUGAUCCGUAGAUGUCCGAAUGGGGAAACCCACUCCGCAAGGAGUAUCCCGUACUGAAUACAUAGGUACGUGGAAGCGAACCCGGUGAACUGAAACAUCUAAGUAGCCGGAGGAAAAGAAAUCAACCGAGAUUCCCAAAGUAGUGGCGAGCGAAAUGGGAACAGCCUGCAAGUGAUAAUCGAUUCGUUAGCGGAACGCUCUGGAAAGUGCGGCCGUAGUGGGUGAUAGCCCCGUACGCGAAAACCAAUCGGUGGUACUGAGCUUGCGACAAGUAGGGCGGGGCACGUGAAACCCUGUCUGAAUAUGGGGGGACCAUCCUCCAAGGCUAAAUACUCGUGAUCGACCGAUAGUGAACCAGUACCGUGAGGGAAAGGCGAAAAGAACCCCGGGAGGG
This 420-nucleotide ribosomal RNA is filed under the name uncultured bacterium. RNAcentral's name for it is "bacterial LSU rRNA". It matches the Rfam family "Bacterial large subunit ribosomal RNA", at positions 74 to 535 of the family's 2925-position model. The record is from RNAcentral.